CAUUAAGUGACUGAAAGCAAGUAAUGGUCUCUUAAACCAAUAUAUAGUAUAUUAGCGUAUACUCUUAAUGA
This 71-nucleotide transfer RNA is filed under the name Anallacta methanoides. RNAcentral describes it as "tRNA-Lys". The record is from RNAcentral. Lineage: Eukaryota; Metazoa; Arthropoda; Insecta; Blattodea; Blattellidae.